This 497-nucleotide ribosomal RNA is filed under the name uncultured bacterium. RNAcentral describes it as "partial 16S ribosomal RNA". It matches the Rfam family "Bacterial small subunit ribosomal RNA", at positions 28 to 507 of the family's 1533-position model. The record is from RNAcentral.
GAUGAACGCUGGCGGCGUGCCUAACACAUGCAAGUCGAGCGAACGGACGAGAAGCUUGCUUCUCUGAUGUUAGCGGCGGACGGGUGAGUAACACGUGGAUAACCUACCUAUAAGACUGGGAUAACCUCGGGACACCGGAGCUAACACCGGAUGAUCUUCUGAACCGCAUGGUUCAAAAGUGAAAGACGGCCUUGCUGUCACUUAUAGAUGGAUCCGCGCUGCAUUAGCUAGUUGGUAAGGUAACGGCUUAUCAAGGCAACGAUGCAUAGCCGACCUGGGAGACGGAUCGCCCACACUAGAGCUGAGACGCGGUCCAUGCUCCUGCGGGAGGCAGCAGUAGGGAAUCUUCCGCAGUGGGCGAAAGCCUGACGGAGCGACGCCGCGUGAGUGGUGAAGGUCCUCGGUGCGUAAAGCUCUGUUAUGAGGGAAAAACAUAUGUGUAAGUAACUGAGCACAUCUUGACGGUACCUAGUCAGGAAGCCACGGCUAACUACGUG